UACGAAGGGGGCUAGCGUUGCUCGGAAUGACUGGGCGUAAAGGGCGCGUAGGCGGUUUGUACAGUCAGGUGUGAAAUUCCCGGGCUCAACCUGGGGGCUGCACUUGAUACGUAUGGACUGGAGUGGGGAAGAGGGUCGUGGAAUUCCCAGUGUAGAGGUGAAAUUCGUAGAUAUCGGGAGGAACACCAGUGGCGAAGGCGGCGAUCUGGGUAGAUACUGACGCUGAGGUGCGAAAGCGUGGGGAGCAAACAGG
RNAcentral lists this ribosomal RNA (253 nucleotides) under uncultured bacterium. RNAcentral describes it as "partial 16S ribosomal RNA". It matches the Rfam family "Bacterial small subunit ribosomal RNA", at positions 524 to 776 of the family's 1533-position model. The record is from RNAcentral.